GAUUCUCUUAAUUAGAUUUUAAUAACAAAAUGUUUUGAAAACAUUUUUAAAGACUUAGUCUUUAAAGUCA
Molecule: transfer RNA, 70 nt
Filed under: Cyrtophora moluccensis
Lineage: Eukaryota; Metazoa; Arthropoda; Arachnida; Araneae; Araneidae
Description: tRNA-Ser
Source: RNAcentral